This 75-nucleotide transfer RNA is filed under the name Elusimicrobia bacterium CG1_02_63_36. RNAcentral's name for it is "tRNA-Gly". It matches the Rfam family "tRNA". Rfam says of the family: Transfer RNA (tRNA) molecules are approximately 80 nucleotides in length. Their secondary structure includes four short double-helical elements and three loops (D, anti-codon, and T loops). The record is from RNAcentral. Lineage: Bacteria; Pseudomonadati; Elusimicrobiota.
GCGGAUAAGGUGUUACCGGCAGCACGCCCGGCUUCCAACCGGAAGGCGCGAGUUCGACCCUCGCUAUCCGCUCCA